GGAGGACCCGUUCUAACACCCACGCUGCUCACACACCCCUCCCAGGCCCGCUCCGGGAGGACCCCAGUCUGCAGCAGACCCCACACCCUCUCCAGAGUUGCCUUGAAAGGAGACACAGCGGCACACCCUGAGACACUUAUUUUUUCCCAUGGAGGUGAGGGGGAGGGGUAGCAGCAGAAGCCCCCGGUCCUUUCAGAAGCCACCAGCAGCAGCUGAAGGCAAGACCCCUCCACUCUGGGACAAUGGUUCCUCCACUACCACUACCCCCCUGCCUACCACCCCCACCUCGGGCUCUCCUGUGAGCAGCUUAUUUCAAGCUGGCAAAUGCAGCGGUUCACAACCGGGGGCAGUUUUGCCCUCCAGAGGACACUUGGUAAUAAUGUGUCUGAGACACUUUUGAUUGUCACACUGGGCUGGGGCUACUGCUGGCUUCUAGUGGGUAGGGGUCAAGGAUGCUGCUGAACACCAUAGAAGAACAGGGCAGCGACCACAACAAAGAAUUAUUCGGCCCCAAAUAUCAACAGUGCUGCUGUUGAAAACCCCUGGGCUGAAUGGGGGGCACUGAGCAGACUGCCUUUUUCUAAGAACCCUUUUUUAAAACAUCUUAAAAAAAGUGUAUUGUGGCAAAAUAUACCUAACAUAAAAUUUUACCAUUUUAACCAUUUUCAACUGUACAAUUUAGUGGCGUUAAAGCGCAUUCGUACUGAACAACCAUCACCACCAUCCGUCUUCAGAACUUUGUCAUCAUCCCAAACGGAAACUGCACCCACUACAUACUAACUCCCCACUCCCCGUGCCCCCAGUCCCUGGUAACCACUAUUCUACUUUGUGUCUUCUAAGGAACAUUUUAAAGUCUGCCUGUCUCUUACACACACACACACACACACACACACACACACACACUCCCAGCCAGGCAGGUAUUUGUGCUAGGCCCUGUCCCCAGGUCACAGUCAGCCCCUCC
Lynx canadensis (Canada lynx) is the source of this 961-nucleotide long non-coding RNA. RefSeq lists it as uncharacterized. The record is from RefSeq and is a predicted model, not a curated record. NCBI's taxonomy places the organism in Eukaryota, Metazoa, Chordata, Mammalia, Carnivora, Felidae. The transcript has 3 exons.